CCAAUAGCGUAUAUUAAAGUUGUUGCAGUUAAAAAGCUCGUAGUUGAAUUUCGGGAUCAGUAUGUUGGUCGUGCUUCGGUACGUACUGUCAUUACUGGUUUCUACCUUCUGAAGAACCAUGAUGUCAUUAAUUUGGUGUCUUGGGGAAUCAGGACUGUUACUUUGAAAAAAUUAGAGUGUUUAAAGCAGGCUCGCGCUUGAAUACAUUAGCAUGGAAUAAUGAAAUAGGACGUUUGAUUCUAUUUUGUUGGUUUCUAGGAUCGACGUAAUGAUUAAUAGGGAUAGUUGGGGGCAUUAGUAUUCAAUUGUCAGAGGUGAAAUUCUUGGAUUUAUUGAAGACUAACUACUGCGAAAGCAUUUGCCAAGGAUGUUUUCAUUAAUCAAGAACGAAAGUUAGGGGAUCGAAGACGAUCAGAUACCGUCGUAGUCUUAACCAUAAACUAUGCCGACUAGGGAUCGGAUGAUGUUAUUUUUAAUGACUCAUUCGGCGCCUUACG
RNAcentral lists this ribosomal RNA (497 nucleotides) under uncultured Glomeromycotina. RNAcentral describes it as "partial small subunit ribosomal RNA". It matches the Rfam family "Eukaryotic small subunit ribosomal RNA", at positions 591 to 1092 of the family's 1831-position model. The record is from RNAcentral. Lineage: Eukaryota; Fungi; Glomeromycota.